ACGGAAGGCAGCAGUGGGGAAUAUUGCACAAUGGGCGAAAGCCUGAUGCAGCGACGCCGCGUGAGUGAAGAAGUAUCUCGGUAUGUAAAGCUCUAUCAGCAGGGAAGAAAAUGACGGUACCUGACUAAGAAGCCCCGGCUAACUACGUGCCAGCAGCCGCGGUAAUACGUAGGGGGCAAGCGUUAUCCGGAUUUACUGGGUGUAAAGGGAGCGUAGACGGUUUGGCAAGUCUGAAGUGAAAUGCGGGGGCUCAACUCCUGAACUGCUUUGGAAACUGUCGAACUAGAGUGCAGGAGAGGUAAGUGGAAUUCCUAGUGUAGCGGUGAAAUGCGUAGAUAUUAGGAGGAACACCAGUGGCGAAGGCGGCUUACUGGACUGUAACUGACGUUGAGGCUCGAAAGCGUGGGGAGCAAACAGGAUUAGAUCCCCUGGUA
This 434-nucleotide ribosomal RNA is filed under the name uncultured Clostridium sp. RNAcentral's name for it is "partial 16S ribosomal RNA". It matches the Rfam family "Bacterial small subunit ribosomal RNA", at positions 341 to 792 of the family's 1533-position model. Lineage: Bacteria; Bacillati; Bacillota; Clostridia; Eubacteriales; Clostridiaceae. The record is from RNAcentral.